Molecule: unclassified non-coding RNA, 934 nt
Filed under: Schistocerca americana (American grasshopper)
Lineage: Eukaryota; Metazoa; Arthropoda; Insecta; Orthoptera; Acrididae
Description: ubiquitin-conjugating enzyme E2 L3, transcript variant X2
Source: RNAcentral
UCCAAAGAUAGCGAAGGAGUAGAAUUUCAUUUCAAGUUCAGCUGAUGGUCUUCUACAUUUUGUUAGAAUUUUAUGUAUUAUUUAUCAUUUGUCAAAACUUGGGAACUGUUUCAUCCGAAUAAUUCUGUAAGCUAGUGUUUAUUCCGCCACAGCAUUAGAUUCAACGAAUUAUAAGUUUACGGCAAAUAGCGAGGCUUUUGCUUCCGGUUAUUGGAAUAUUGGGUAAUAAGGAAGAUGGCAGCGACCAGGAGGUUGCAGAAAGAGCUCGGCGACAUCCGAUCGUCGGGCAUGAAAUCUUUCCGAGAAAUCCAAGUGGAUGACUCUAAUAUAUUAACAUGGCAAGGUCUUAUAGUGCCGGAUAAUGCCCCUUAUAAUAAAGGUGCGUUUAGGAUUGAAAUAAAUUUUCCUGCAGAAUACCCAUUCAAACCACCAAAAAUUAAUUUCAAGACCAAAAUAUAUCAUCCGAACAUUGAUGAGAAGGGCCAAGUCUGUCUGCCGAUCAUCAGCGCUGAAAACUGGAAACCAGCAACGAAAACAGAUCAAGGUAUGGAUAUGACUUCUAAGUGUAAUAGAGCGCGUCCGCGGGCUGUAAUGGGGGACGACAUGUUUGUCCGUCAUUAAGUUUCUGCAACUUUUUGGGCUUGUGACGGAGAUAGUGAAAUGCGGCGUAUGCAAGCAGAAUAUGCAAGUUGGGGGUUAGUGUGUAGCGCCGGAACUUUUUUAUGUGAUCCAGGCGUUGGUAGCACUUGUGAAUGACCCAGAACCUGAACAUCCACUUCGUGCUGACCUGGCUGAAGAGUAUCUCAAAGACCGUAAAAAGUUUGUGAAAAAUGCUGAAGAGUUCACCAAGAAGCAUAGUGAGAAGCGACCGUCCGAUUAAAGUCUGUGAAAUGAUGCAGUUCCUGCCUGGACUUUGGGAGGAGAGGUUUUGUGA